GACGAACGCUGGCGGCGUGCUUAACACAUGCCAGUCGAACGGAAAGGCCCUGCUUGCAGGGUACUCGAGUGGCGAACGGGUGAGUAACACGUGGGUGAUCUGCCCUGCACUUCGGGAUAAGCCUGGGAAACUGGGUCUAAUACCGGAUAGGAGCCAUUUUUAGUGUGAUGGUUGGAAAGUUUUUUCGGUGUAGGAUGAGCUCGCGGCCUAUCAGCUUGUUGGUGGGGUAAUGGCCUACCAAGGCGGCGACGGGUAGCCGGCCUGAGAGGGUGGACGGCCACAUUGGGACUGAGAUACGGCCCAGACUCCUACGGGAGGCAGCAGUGGGGAAUAUUGCACAAUGGACGCAAGCCUGAUGCAGCGACGCCGCGUGGGGGAUGACGGCCUUCGGGUUGUAAACUCCUUUCGCUAGGGACGAAGCUUUUUGUGACGGUACCUAGAUAAGAAGCACCGGCUAACUACGUG
Molecule: ribosomal RNA, 465 nt
Filed under: uncultured bacterium
Lineage: Bacteria
Description: partial 16S ribosomal RNA
Rfam family: Bacterial small subunit ribosomal RNA
Source: RNAcentral